RNAcentral lists this ribosomal RNA (894 nucleotides) under Paradevriesia pseudoamericana. Its description in RNAcentral is "LSU rRNA". It matches the Rfam family "Eukaryotic large subunit ribosomal RNA", at positions 38 to 962 of the family's 3401-position model. Lineage: Eukaryota; Fungi; Ascomycota; Dothideomycetes; Capnodiales; Paradevriesiaceae. The record is from RNAcentral.
GCAUAUCAAUAAGCGGAGGAAAAGAAACCAACAGGGAUUGCCCUAGUAACGGCGAGUGAAGCGGCAACAGCUCAAAUUUGAAAUCUGGCGCAAGCCCGAGUUGUAAUUUGUAGAGGAUGCUUCUAGGCAGCGGCCGGUCUAAGUCUCUUGGAACAGGGCGUCAUAGAGGGUGAGAAUCCCGUAUGUGACCGGCUGGCACCUUAUACGUAGCUCCUUCGACGAGUCGAGUUGUUUGGGAAUGCAGCUCUAAAUGGGAGGUAAAUUUCUUCUAAAGCUAAAUACCGGCCAGAGACCGAUAGCGCACAAGUAGAGUGAUCGAAAGAUGAAAAGCACUUUGGAAAGAGAGUUAAAAAGCACGUGAAAUUGUUGAAAGGGAAGCGCUUGCAACCAGACUUGUUGGCGGUGUUCCGCCGGUCUUCUGACCGGUCUACUCGCCGCCCGCAGGCCAGCGUCGUCUGGGGCCGCCGGAGAAAGGCGUUGGGAAUGUAGCUCCCUCGGGAGUGUUAUAGCCCAUCGCACAAUACGGCGCGCGCCGGGCGAGGUCCGCGCUUCGGCAAGGACGCUGGCGUAAUGGUCGUAAGCGGCCCGUCUUGAAACACGGACCAAGGAGUCGAUCAAUCGUGCGAGUGUUCGGGUGAAAAACCCUUGCGCGCAAUGAAAGUGAACGGAGGCGAGAAGCGCAAGCCGCAUCGUCGACCGAUCCUGAUGUCUUCGGAUGGAUUUGAGUAAGAGCAUGGCUGAUCGGACCCGAAAGAUGGUGAACUAUGCCUAAAUAGAAUGAAACCAGGGGAAACCCUGGCGGAAGUUCGCAGCGGUUCUGACGUGCAAAUCGAUCGUCAAAUUUGGGUAUAGGGGCGAAAGACUAAUCGAACCAUCUAGUAGCUGGUUCCUGCC